AAACAUGGCCGCCCGAGAGGGACCGCACCGCCACCACCUGCGACAGAGACGGUCGUUUCGUGAGAGGAAGGACGUCCUGAAUGAGCUAGAUGACCGUGAGCUGGUGAAGAGGUAUUGGCAGGAUCCUGCUGGUAUCAUUUUCGUGACAAAUUUGGUGCGGGAAAGGCUGAAGAGACCAACAAGGCCUCUCUCCCCGAGAUGCAAGUUAUCUUCACUGCGGUACCUCGCUAUAGGAAAGAUGCAGCAGUGCAGCACUGAUGACUUGGGGCCCUCACAACAGACCAUCAGCAGGAUCAUCAGUGAUACAGUGAUACAAUGCCAUCCUCUCUUAAUUCAUAAGAUUUUUAGUCACCCAACUGGAAACUCAGUGAAGGAAGGAGGAGUUUCUGCAGAUUGCUGGCUUCCCUGAAGUGAUCGGUGGCAUUGAUGGAACGCACGUAAUGAUUGUGGCUCCUAGAGAGUAUAAGGUAGAGUUUGUCAACAGGAAGAGAUACUACAGCAUCAACGUGCAGUUUGUGUUUGAUGCUUGAUACCACAUUAUUGAUGUGGUUGCAAAGUGGCCGGGAUCGGUUCACGAUGCAAGAAUACUUGUUCAAAGUGGACUCUGCACGAUAUUUGACAACGGCAUCGUCCCAGCUGGGUGUCACUUACAGGAGAUAGUGACUAUCCCAGCAAGAAGUGGCUACUGACUCCAUACCUCAGACCACAGCCUGGAGCACAGUCUUCUUAUAACAGGGCCCACAAGAAAACCCGCAGCAUUGUUGAGAGGCAUCGGGCAGCUGAAGCGACAUUUUCACAUGCUACACAGUGAGAUCCGAGUUGGUCCUCCAUCCAAGGUCUGCCAAAUUGUAGAGGUUUGUGCACUGCUGCACAACAUCUGCAAAGCAAGAAACAUCAUUCUUCCUGAGGAAGAAGAACAUCUUGCUGCAGCCGAGGAUGGAGGCAACGAGGAGCGACUUUUAGCACAGAAAGUUCAAAGUCGCCAUGAAGUAAUCCUUUACAGGGAUGAAUUUGUUGUGCUUCACUUCAACAUUGAUGAGUGAUGAGACACCAGUGUCAUGACUGCUGAGAUUGGUGUUAUUCUCAUGUGGAUGAUCUCCUCCUCAUCCACAAACACCAGUGAUGUACCAGGCAAGUCUGGCCCCUGUUGGUGCUGCAAGUGGUGUGGCAGGUGCCUCCUCCUCAACACCCACUGCCUCGGUCACCACUUCUCUCUGUUGGGCUGCCUCUGCCACUUCCCCAGCAUCAUCUGCUGCCUGCACACUGCUGGCAUCAUUAGUUCUAACUUCAGAAACUAAGCUGAUAAUGUUUUUGGUUUUAUUGCUAAGGACAAAAGUAACAGAAACCAGUAAAUCUAGCUAAGGGUA
RNAcentral lists this long non-coding RNA (1367 nucleotides) under Portunus trituberculatus (swimming crab). RNAcentral's name for it is "uncharacterized LOC123515167". The record is from RNAcentral. Lineage: Eukaryota; Metazoa; Arthropoda; Malacostraca; Decapoda; Portunidae.